CCUACGGGUGGCAGCAGUGGGGAAUAUUGCACAAUGGGGGAAACCCUGAUGCAGCGACGCCGCGUGAGUGAAGAAGUAUUUCGGUAUGUAAAGCUCUAUCAGCAGGGAAGAAAAAAGACGGUACCUGACUAAGAAGCCCCGGCUAACUACGUGCCAGCAGCCGCGGUAAUACGUAGGGGGCAAGCGUUAUCCGGAUUUACUGGGUGUAAAGGGAGCGUAGACGGCGCGGCAAGUCUGAAGUGAAAGGCAGGGGCUUAACCCCUGAACUGCUUUGGAAACUGUGGAGCUUGAGUGCGGGAGGGGCAGGCGGAAUUCCUAGUGUAGCGGUGAAAUGCGUAGAUAUUAGGAGGAACACCGGCGGCGAAGGCGGCCUGCUGGACCGUAACUGACGUUGAGGCUCGAAAGCGUGGGGAGCAAACAGGAUUAGAUACCCGGGUAGUC
This 441-nucleotide ribosomal RNA is filed under the name uncultured bacterium. Its description in RNAcentral is "partial 16S ribosomal RNA". It matches the Rfam family "Bacterial small subunit ribosomal RNA", at positions 338 to 795 of the family's 1533-position model. The record is from RNAcentral.